AACGAACGCUGGCGGCAUGCCUAACACAUGCAAGUCGAACGAACCCUUCGGGGUUAGUGGCGCACGGGUGCGUAACGCGUGGGAACCUGCCUUUAGGUUCGGAAUAACUCAGAGAAAUUUGAGCUAAUACCGGAUAAUGUCUUCGGACCAAAGAUUUAUCGCCUUUAGAUGGGCCCGCGUUAGAUUAGAUAGUUGGUGGGGUAAUGGCCUACCAAGUCGACGAUCUAUAGCUGGUCUGAGAGGAUGAUCAGCCACACUGGGACUGAGACACGGCCCAGACUCCUACGGGAGGCAGCAGUGGGGAAUAUUGGACAAUGGGCGAAAGCCUGAUCCAGCAAUGCCGCGUGAGUGAUGAAGGCCUUAGGGUUGUAAAGCUCUUUUACCAGGGAUGAUAAUGACAGUACCUGGAGAAUAAGCUACCGGCUAACUCCGUGCCAGCAGCCGCGGUAAUACGGAGGGAGCUAGCGUUGUUCGGAAUUACUGGGCGUAAAGCGCGCGUA
This 500-nucleotide ribosomal RNA is filed under the name uncultured bacterium. RNAcentral describes it as "bacterial SSU rRNA". It matches the Rfam family "Bacterial small subunit ribosomal RNA", at positions 28 to 573 of the family's 1533-position model. The record is from RNAcentral.